GAUCCGGUCGGCUAACGGGCAGGCCGCGAGGCUCUCAACCUCGAAGUGCGAGUUCAAGUCUCGCCCGGAUUACCA
RNAcentral lists this transfer RNA (75 nucleotides) under Gammaproteobacteria bacterium. Its description in RNAcentral is "tRNA-Glu". It matches the Rfam family "tRNA". From Rfam's summary of the family: Transfer RNA (tRNA) molecules are approximately 80 nucleotides in length. Their secondary structure includes four short double-helical elements and three loops (D, anti-codon, and T loops). Lineage: Bacteria; Pseudomonadati; Pseudomonadota; Gammaproteobacteria. The record is from RNAcentral.